UAGGGAGGACGGGGUUCGGAUCCCCUCCCCGAACCUAGGGUAACAUUGCAAGUGGAGGGGAC
Non-coding RNA from Felis catus (domestic cat), 62 nucleotides. The record is from Rfam. Lineage: Eukaryota; Metazoa; Chordata; Mammalia; Carnivora; Felidae.